RNAcentral lists this ribosomal RNA (433 nucleotides) under uncultured bacterium. Its description in RNAcentral is "partial 16S ribosomal RNA". It matches the Rfam family "Bacterial small subunit ribosomal RNA", at positions 28 to 507 of the family's 1533-position model. The record is from RNAcentral.
AGCGAACGCUGGCGGCAGGCUUAACGCAUGCAAGUCGAGCGGGCCCUUCGGGGUCAGCGGCCGACGGGUGAGUAACACGUGGGAACGUACCCUUUGGUUCGGAAUAACGCUGGGAAACUAGCGCUAAUACCGGAUACGCCCUUUUGGGGAAAGGCUUGCUGCCGGAGGGUCGGCCCGCGUCUGAUUAGCUAGUUGGUGGGGUAAUGGCCGACCAAGGCGACGAUCAGUAGCUGGUCGGGGAGGAUGAUCCGCCACACUGGGACUGAGACACGGCCCAGACUCCUACGGGAGGCAGCAGUGGGGAAUAUUGGACGAUGGGCGCAAGCCUGAUCCAGCCAUGCCGCGUGAGUGAUGAAGGCCUUAGGGUUGUAAAGCUCUUUUGUCCGGGACGAUAAUGACGGUACCGGAUGAAUAAGCCCCGGCUAACUUCGUG